ACAUGCAAGUAGAACGCUGAAGAGAGGAGCUUGCUCUUCUUGGAUGAGUUGCGAACGGGUGAGUAACGCGUAGGUAACCUGCCUUGUAGCGGGGGAUAACUAUUGGAAACGAUAGCUAAUACCGCAUAACAAUGGAUGACCCAUGUCAUUUAUUUGAAAGGGGCAAAUGCUCCACUACAAGAUGGACCUGCGUUGUAUUAGCUAGUAGGUGAGGUAACGGCUCACCUAGGCGACGAUACAUAGCCGACCUGAGAGGGUGAUCGGCCACACUGGGACUGAGACACGGCCCAGACUCCUACGGGAGGCAGCAGUAGGGAAUCUUCGGCAAUGGGGGCAACCCUGACCGAGCAACGCCGCGUGAGUGAAGAAGGUUUUCGGAUCGUAAAGCUCUGUCGUAAGUCAAGAACGAGUGUGAGAGUGGAAAGUUCACACUGUGACGGUAGCUUACCAGAAAGGGACGGCUAACUACGUGCCAGCAGCCGCGGUAAUACGUAGGUCCCGAGCGUUGUCCGGAUUUAUUGGGCGUAAAGCGAGCGCAGGCGGUUUGAUAAGUCUGAGGUUAAAGGCUGUGGCUCAACCAUAGUUCGCUUUGGAAACUGUCAAACUUGAGUGCAGAAGGGGAGAGUGGAAUUCCAUGUGUAGCGGUGAAAUGCGUAGAUAUAUGGAGGAACACCGGUGGCGAAAGCGGCUCUCUGGUCUGUAA
Molecule: ribosomal RNA, 703 nt
Filed under: uncultured Bacilli bacterium
Lineage: Bacteria; Bacillati; Bacillota; Bacilli
Description: bacterial SSU rRNA
Rfam family: Bacterial small subunit ribosomal RNA
Source: RNAcentral